CCUACGGGGGGCAGCAGUCGAGAAUCAUUCACAAUGGGGGAAACCCUGAUGGUGCGACGCCGCGUGGGGGAAUGAAGGUCUUCGGAUUGUAAACCCCUGUCAUGUGGGAGCAAAUUAAAAAGAUAGUACCACAAGAGGAAGAGACGGCUAACGAUGUGCCAGCAGCCGCGGUAAUAAAGAGGUCUCAAGCGUUGUUCGGAAUCACUGGGCGUAAGGCGUGCGUAGGCUGUUUCGUAAGUCGUGUGUGAAAGGCGCGGGCUCAACCCGCGGACGGCACAUGAUACUGCGAGACUAGAGUAAUGGAGGGGGAACCGGAAUUCUCGGUGUAGCAGUGAAAUGCGUAGAUAUCGGGAGGAACACUCGUGGCGAAGGCGGGUUCCUGGACAUUAACUGACGCUGAGGCACGAAGGCCAGGGGAGCGAAAGGGAUUAGAUACCCCUGUAGUC
RNAcentral lists this ribosomal RNA (446 nucleotides) under uncultured bacterium. RNAcentral describes it as "partial 16S ribosomal RNA". It matches the Rfam family "Bacterial small subunit ribosomal RNA", at positions 338 to 795 of the family's 1533-position model. The record is from RNAcentral.